RNAcentral lists this ribosomal RNA (495 nucleotides) under uncultured bacterium. RNAcentral's name for it is "partial 16S ribosomal RNA". It matches the Rfam family "Bacterial small subunit ribosomal RNA", at positions 28 to 507 of the family's 1533-position model. The record is from RNAcentral.
GACGAACGCUGGCGGCGUGCCUAAUACAUGCAAGUAGAACGCCGAAGGAGGAGCUUGCUCUUCUGGAUGAGUUGCGAACGGGUGAGUAACGCGUAGGUAACCUGCCUGGUAGCGGGGGAUAACUAUUGGAAACGAUAGCUAAUACCGCAUAACAGUAGAUGUUGCAUGACAUUUACUUAAAAGGUGCAAUUGCAUCACUACCAGAUGGACCUGCGUUGUAUUAGCUAGUUGGUGGGGUAACGGCUCACCAAGGCGACGAUACAUAGCCGACCUGAGAGGGUGAUCGGCCACACUGGGACUGAGACACGGCCCAGACUCCUACGGGAGGCAGCAGUAGGGAAUCUUCGGCAAUGGACGGAAGUCUGACCGAGCAACGCCGCGUGAGUGAAGAAGGUUUUCGGAUCGUAAAGCUCGGUUGUAAGAGAAGAACGAGUGUGAGAGUGGAAAGUUCACACUGUGACGGUAUCUUACCAGAAAGGGACGGCUAACUACGUG